Molecule: non-coding RNA, 106 nt
Filed under: Bellilinea caldifistulae
Lineage: Bacteria; Bacillati; Chloroflexota; Anaerolineae; Anaerolineales; Anaerolineaceae
Description: c-di-GMP sequence
Rfam family: c-di-GMP-II-GAG riboswitch aptamer
Source: Rfam by way of RNAcentral
UUCGAGCGUGGGGGCUGUGAACUGCGGGCGGCAAAUCUGGUCGCCAAACCCAGAACCACAGGGGGAACGCCUGCAGGGAGCCAGUGGCGAAACCGACCACCACGAG